Molecule: RNase P RNA, 459 nt
Filed under: Rhodocytophaga rosea
Lineage: Bacteria; Pseudomonadati; Bacteroidota; Cytophagia; Cytophagales; Rhodocytophagaceae
Description: Bacterial RNase P class A
Rfam family: Bacterial RNase P class A
About the family: Ribonuclease P (RNase P) is a ubiquitous endoribonuclease, found in archaea, bacteria and eukarya as well as chloroplasts and mitochondria.
Source: Rfam by way of RNAcentral
AAAGCAAGCCGUCUUAUCGCUGUCCUGCCUAAAGGCGGGAGAGAGGAAAGUCCGGGCAACACAGAGCAGCGUACUUCCUAACGGGAAGGACUUCCGGAAACGGGGGGACAGACAGGGCCACAGAAAAUUACCGCCAGGGGCGUAGGUGAAUGAGUAAUCGAAUAAUUGAGUGAGUUUUAAUUAAUCGCUCAUUCACACAAUCACUCAUUCACCUAAGCUCCAGGUAAGGGUGAAAAGGUGCGGUAAGAGCGCACCGCCUGGCUGGCGACAGACAGGGCAUAGGUAAACCUUACGCGUUGAAAGACCAAAUAAGCUGGCGAGCCUGUAACAGGGCUGAAGGGCGGCUCGUCCGGUGCCAGCGGGUAGGUUGAUGGAGCCACUCCGUGAGGGCUGGCCUAGAUAAAUGAUAAGAACUUUCGCAGGAAAGUACAGAACCCGGCUUACAGGCUUGCUUUUUAU